Long non-coding RNA from Telopea speciosissima, 210 nucleotides. RefSeq lists it as uncharacterized. The transcript is spliced from 2 exons. Lineage: Eukaryota; Viridiplantae; Streptophyta; Magnoliopsida; Proteales; Proteaceae. The record is from RefSeq and is a predicted model, not a curated record.
UUUAAGGUGCUCAUGAAAAAAUAAAUUGCCGGUAUUGAAAGCUUCAAGAGCAAUUUCUCUUCCAGCACAAACAGCCAGAUAAAAUUACUUAAGGUAAUUAAUGCAUUCAAGAGAAUUUAAUUUUAGCAUCCACAAUACAAUUUCUAAACAAGAGCAACCAGCACCUGAGUCGGGUUCUCCAGAGGAAUGAUUUGAAGCAGCCAAUGCCAU